RNAcentral lists this small RNA (107 nucleotides) under Marmota monax (woodchuck). The record is from RNAcentral. Lineage: Eukaryota; Metazoa; Chordata; Mammalia; Rodentia; Sciuridae.
GCUGGGCACAGUGGUGCAUGCCUGUAAUUCCAACAACUUGGGAGGCGGGGGCAGGAGGAUUGCAAGUUUAAGGCUAGCCUCACCAACUUAGCAAGACCCUGUCUCAA